GAUGAAGAACGCAGCGAAAUGCGAUAAGUAAUGUGAAUUGCAGAAUUCAGUGAAUCAUCGAAUCUUUGAACGCACCUUGCGCCCUUUGGCCAUUCCGAAGGGCAUGCCUGUUUGAGUAUCAUGAACACCUCAACUCUCAUGGCUUGCCAUGAUGAGCUUGGACUUUGGGGGUCUUGCUGGCCUGUGGUCGGCUUCUCUCAAAUGAAUCAGCUUGCCAGUGUUUGGUGGCAUCACAAGUGUGAUAACUAUCUGCGCUCGUGGUUUCCAUCAGAUAACCUCCAGUGAUGGAGGUUCGCUGGAGCUCAUAAAUGUCUCUCCUAAGCGAGGACAGCUCUUUUAAUGUUUGAUCUCAAAUCAGGUAGGACUACCCGCUGAACUUAAGCAUAUCAAUAAGCGGAGGA
RNAcentral lists this unclassified non-coding RNA (401 nucleotides) under soil metagenome. RNAcentral's name for it is "partial contains 5.8S ribosomal RNA, internal transcribed spacer 2, and large subunit ribosomal RNA". The stretch from base 1 to 121 matches the Rfam family "5.8S ribosomal RNA", at positions 35 to 154 of the family's 154-position model. The record is from RNAcentral.